GGUGUGUGUAUGUCUUCUCUCCCAGGUGUGUGUAUGUCUUCUCUCCCAGGUGUGUGUAUGUCUUCUCUCUCAGGUGUGUGUAUGUCUUCUCUCUCAGGUGUGUGUAUGUCUUCUCUCUCAGGUGUAUGUAUGUCUUCUCUCUCAGGUGUGUGUAUGUCUUCUCUCUCAGGUGUGUGUAUGUCUUCUCUAUCAGGUGUGUGUAUGUCUUCUCUCUCAGGUGUAUGUCUUCUCUCUCAGGUGUAUGUCUUCUCUCUCAGGUGUAUGUCUUCUCUCUCAGGUGUAUGUCUUCUCUCUCAGGUGUGUGUAUGUCUUCUCUCUCAGGUGUAUGUCUUCUCUCUCAGGUGUGUGUAUGUCUUCUCUCCCAGGUGUGUGUAUGUCUUCUCUCCCAGGUGUGUGUAUGUCUUCUCUCCCAGGUGUAUGUAUGUCUUCUCUCUCAGGUGUGUGUAUGUCUUCUCUCUCAGGUGUGUGUAUGUCUUCUCUC
This is a long non-coding RNA of Oncorhynchus tshawytscha (Chinook salmon), 481 nucleotides long. The record is from Ensembl. Lineage: Eukaryota; Metazoa; Chordata; Actinopteri; Salmoniformes; Salmonidae.